GUCCAUCCUUCGGGAGAAGACUAGUGGCGAACGGGUGAGUAACACGUGAGCAACCUGCCCCGAAGACCGGGAUAACAGCGGGAAACCGCUGCUAAUACCGAAUGCCCCCACCGGGCCGCAUGACCUGGUGAGGAAAGCCUGUCUCUUGUAGACAGACGCUUCGGGAGGGGCUCGCGGCCUAUCAGCUUGUUGGUGGGGUAAUGGCCUACCAAGGCGACGACGGGUAGCUGGUCUGAGAGGACGAUCAGCCACACUGGGACUGAGAUACGGCCCAGACUCCUACGGGAGGCAGCAGUGGGGAAUCUUGCGCAAUGGGCGAAAGCCUGACGCAGCAACGCCGCGUGAGGGAUGAAGGCCUUCGGGUUGUAAACCUCUUUCAAGCAGGGACGAUAAUGACGGUACCUGAAGAAGAAGCACCGGCUAACUACAUGCCAGCAGCCGCGGUAAUACGUAGGGUGCGAGCGUUAAUCGGAAUUACUGGGCGUAAAGCGUGCGCAGGCGGUUUUUCAAGUCUGAUGUGAAAUCCCCGGGCUUAACCUGGGAACUGCGUUGGAAACUGAAAGACUAGAGUGCGGCAGAGGGGGGUAGAAUUCCACGUGUAGCAGUGAAAUGCGUAGAUAUGUGGAGGAAUACCGAUGGCGAAGGCAGCCCCCUGGGUCGACACUGACGCUCAUGCACGAAAGCGUGGGUAGCAAACAGGAUUAGAUACCCUGGUAGAAUCACUAGUGAAUUC
RNAcentral lists this ribosomal RNA (733 nucleotides) under uncultured bacterium. RNAcentral describes it as "bacterial SSU rRNA". It matches the Rfam family "Bacterial small subunit ribosomal RNA", at positions 71 to 809 of the family's 1533-position model. The record is from RNAcentral.